RNAcentral lists this ribosomal RNA (368 nucleotides) under uncultured bacterium. RNAcentral's name for it is "partial 16S ribosomal RNA". It matches the Rfam family "Bacterial small subunit ribosomal RNA", at positions 338 to 698 of the family's 1533-position model. The record is from RNAcentral.
CCUACGGGUGGCAGCAGUGGGGAAUAUUGCGCAAUGGGCGAAAGCCUGACGCAGCGACGCCGCGUGAGGGAUGAAGGUCUUCGGAUCGUAAACCUCUGUCAGCAGGGAAGAACGGUCACUGUGCUAAUCAGCAGUGAAUUAACGGUACCUGCAAAGGCAGCACCGGCUAACUCCGUGCCAGCAGCCGCGGUAAGACGGAGGGUGCGAGCGUUAAUCGGAAUUACUGGGCGUAAAGCGCUCGUAGACGGUAGGUCAAGUCAAGGGUGAAAUCCCCGCGCUAAACGGGGGAACUGCCUUUGAAACUGGCAAACUGGAGUGUGUGAGCGGAUAGUGGAAUGUGAGGUGUAGGAGUGAAAUCCGUAGAUAUC